This 238-nucleotide unclassified non-coding RNA is filed under the name Hevea brasiliensis (rubber tree). Lineage: Eukaryota; Viridiplantae; Streptophyta; Magnoliopsida; Malpighiales; Euphorbiaceae. The record is from RNAcentral.
GGGAGAUCAGAUCGAGCUCGUAGGCUCACGAAUUCCAAGCAUAUAACAACAACUACAAUCUUUUUCACCACGACGGCCCGGAUCUCACUACUUACUUACCGCUGCUAAAACGCAACGCCCAUGUCUUCUUGGAUCAGUUGGUGGCGGCGGCGUCGGCCUCGUCGGCGGCGGCGGCGUCCUUCUUCUCCGGCUCCGGGGGCGCCGGGUUGAGCUGGAAGGCGGUGACGGGGAGGGCGCG